Molecule: ribosomal RNA, 253 nt
Filed under: uncultured bacterium
Lineage: Bacteria
Description: partial 16S ribosomal RNA
Rfam family: Bacterial small subunit ribosomal RNA
Source: RNAcentral
UACGUAGGGACCAAGCGUUGUUCGGAUUUACUGGGCGUAAAGGGCGCGUAGGCGGCGUGGUAAGUCAGCUGUGAAAUCUCCGAGCUUAACUCGGAACGGUCAGCUGAUACUGCUGUGCUAGAGUACAGAAGGGGCAAUCGGAAUUCUUGGUGUAGCGGUGAAAUGCGUAGAUAUCAAGAGGAACACCUGAGGUGAAGACGGGUUGCUGGGCUGAUACUGACGCUGAUGCGCGAAAGCUAGGGUAGCAAACGGG